UGGAAGAGCAGCAGUGCCCUUAA
This 23-nucleotide non-coding RNA is filed under the name Mus musculus (house mouse). The record is from RNAcentral. Lineage: Eukaryota; Metazoa; Chordata; Mammalia; Rodentia; Muridae.